UGUGUGUUCAUAUGUGUAUGCGCACAUGUAUGUCCAUGCACAUAUACACACAUACACACACACACACACACCCUGUA
Molecule: microRNA precursor, 77 nt
Filed under: Notamacropus eugenii (tammar wallaby)
Lineage: Eukaryota; Metazoa; Chordata; Mammalia; Diprotodontia; Macropodidae
Description: miRNA (ENSMEUG00000017018.1)
Source: RNAcentral